Molecule: ribosomal RNA, 451 nt
Filed under: uncultured bacterium
Lineage: Bacteria
Description: bacterial SSU rRNA
Rfam family: Bacterial small subunit ribosomal RNA
Source: RNAcentral
GACGAACGCUGGCGGCGCGCCUAACACAUGCAAGUCGAACGGAGCUGAGAGGAGCUUGCUUUUCUCAGCUUAGUGGCGAACGGGUGAGUAACGCGUGAGUAACCUGCCCUGGAGUGGGGGACAACAGUUGGAAACGACUGCUAAUACCGCAUAAGCCCACGAUCCGGCAUCGGAUUGAGGGAAAAGGAUUUAUUCGCUUCAGGAUGGACUCGCGUCCAAUUAGCUAGUUGGUGAGGUAACGGCCCACCAAGGCGACGAUUGGUAGCCGGACUGAGAGGUUGAACGGCCACAUUGGGACUGAGACACGGCCCAGACUCCUACGGGAGGCAGCAGUGGGGGAUAUUGCACAAUGGGGGAAACCCUGAUGCAGCGACGCCGCGUGGAGGAAGAAGGUUUUCGGAUUGUAAACUCCUGUCGUUAGGGACGAUAAUGACGGUACCUAACAAGAAAG